Molecule: ribosomal RNA, 468 nt
Filed under: uncultured bacterium
Lineage: Bacteria
Description: partial 16S ribosomal RNA
Rfam family: Bacterial small subunit ribosomal RNA
Source: RNAcentral
GACGAACGCUGGCGGCGUGCUUAACACAUGCAAGUCGAACGGAAAGGCCCUGCUUUUGUGGGGUGCUCGAGUGGCGAACGGGUGAGUAACACGUGAGUAACCUGCCCUUGACUUUGGGAUAACUUCAGGAAACUGGGGCUAAUACCGGAUAGGAGCUCCUGCUGCAUGGUGGGGGUUGGAAAGCUUCGGCGGUUGGGGAUAGACUCGCGGCUUAUCAGCUUGUUGGUGGGGUAGUGGCUUACCAAGGCUUUGACGGGUAGCCGGCCUGAGAGGGUGACCGGCCACAUUGGGACUGAGAUACGGCCCAGACUCCUACGGGAGGCAGCAGUGGGGAAUAUUGCACAAUGGGCGGAAGCCUGAUGCAGCAACGCCGCGUGCGGGAUGACGGCCUUCGGGUUGUAAACCGCUUUCGCCUGUGACGAAGCGUGAGUGACGGUAAUGGGUAAAGAAGCACCGGCUAACUACGUG